AUACGAAGGGGGCAAGCGUUGUUCGGAAUAACUGGGCGUAAAGCGCACGUAGGCGGAAUGUUAAGUUAGAGGUGGAAUCCCAGGGCUCAACCCUGGAACGGCCUUUAAUACUGGCAAUCUAGAGACCGAGAGAGGUGAGUGGAAUUCCGAGUGUAGAGGUGAAAUUCGUAGAUAUUCGGAGGAACACCAGUGGCGAAGGCGGCUCACUGGCUCGGUACUGACGCUGAGGUGCGAAAGCGUGGGGAGCAAACAGGAUUAGAAACCCUAGUAGUCC
This 274-nucleotide ribosomal RNA is filed under the name uncultured bacterium. RNAcentral's name for it is "partial 16S ribosomal RNA". It matches the Rfam family "Bacterial small subunit ribosomal RNA", at positions 523 to 796 of the family's 1533-position model. The record is from RNAcentral.